UACUGGGCGUAAAGCGCACGCAGGCGGUCUGUCAAGUCGGAUGUGAAAUCCCCGGGCUCAACCUGGGAACUGCAUUCGAAACUGGCAGGCUAGAGUCUUGUAGAGGGGGGUAGAAUUCCAGGUGUAGCGGUGAAAUGCGUAGAGAUCUGGAGGAAUACCGGUGGCGAAGGCGGCCCCCUGGACAAAGACUGACGCUCAGGUGCGAAAGCGUGGGGAGCAAACAGGAUUAGAUACCCUGGUAGUCCACGCCGUAAACGAUGUCGACUUGGAGGUUGUGCCCUUGAGGCGUGGCUUCCGGAGCUAACGCGUUAAGUCGACCGCCUGGGGAGUACGGCCGCAAGGUUAAAACUCAAAUGAAUUGACGGGGGCCCGCACAAGCGGUGGAGCAUGUGGUUUAAUUCGAUGCAACGCGAAGAACCUUACCUA
This 426-nucleotide ribosomal RNA is filed under the name Enterobacter kobei. RNAcentral's name for it is "bacterial SSU rRNA". It matches the Rfam family "Bacterial small subunit ribosomal RNA", at positions 552 to 977 of the family's 1533-position model. Lineage: Bacteria; Pseudomonadati; Pseudomonadota; Gammaproteobacteria; Enterobacterales; Enterobacteriaceae. The record is from RNAcentral.